GAUGAACGCUGGCGGCGUGCCUAAUACAUGCAAGUCGAGCGAACAAAUGAGGAGUUCGCUUCUCUUACGCUGGCGGCGGGCGGGUGAGGAAUACGAGGAUAACCGGUAGAUGAGACUGGGGUAAGUUCGGGGGAGCGAAGCUCGUAUCGGUCAAGAGAUUGAAACGCAUGGUUCUUCAGAGAUAGAGCGUUCAGAUGAGACUAAUUGGUGGAACCAAGUCGGAUUAGCUAAUUGGUAAGGUAACGGCCUACCAAGGCAACGAUGCGUAGCCGAUCUGAGAGGGUGAUCGGUCACACUGGAACUGAGACACGGUCCAGACUCCUACGGGAGGCAGCAGUAGGGAAUCUUCCGCAAUGGGCGAAAGCCUGACGGAGCCACGCCGCGUGAGUGAUGAAGGUCUUCGGAUCGUAAAACUCUUUUAGUAGGGAAGAACAAAAGUAUGAGUAUCUCUGCCCGUCUUGACGUUACCUACACAGAAAGCACCGGCUAACUACGUG
This 497-nucleotide ribosomal RNA is filed under the name uncultured bacterium. RNAcentral describes it as "partial 16S ribosomal RNA". It matches the Rfam family "Bacterial small subunit ribosomal RNA", at positions 28 to 507 of the family's 1533-position model. The record is from RNAcentral.